AACAUUCCUGUUUAAAAAUAGACUAUAGAGUAGGCAGAUCGUGCAUAUGCACUCACCAUGUUGUGAUGGAUGCAGAAACGAUCUUGCAGACACUCCACGGCACCAAAAGCCCAGCAGGAACCACAGUGACCCUGCCAUUGGUAACCAGUACAGGCUAGCUUGAGCAUCUUCAAUUGUUCAGUAAGCACUCGUGGAGCUAAAAAUGUAAGGUAGUGUGCAUAGACUUACUUGAUCUGCUCAUGAAAAUCAGCGUUUUCCAAGGUAUUGGAAAAAGAGGAGGAAAUGAAGCGGGUCAGUGUAAUUAAAACAAUGUACAACCGAUUCAUGGUCAUUGAGUUAUCUAGUUUAAUUUACCAAGUAUUUUCCCAAUUGUGCUGCAACCGGACCAUUUCGACCUGGCGUCGAACACCUUUGGGAGCUGCUCCGAUCUUAAAUGAGUUUUGGUGCGAACACCAGCCCGUAAACCUGGAGGCGU
RNAcentral lists this long non-coding RNA (475 nucleotides) under Triticum aestivum (bread wheat). RNAcentral describes it as "long non-coding RNA (TAES_LNC004083)". Lineage: Eukaryota; Viridiplantae; Streptophyta; Magnoliopsida; Poales; Poaceae. The record is from RNAcentral.